UGGAAACGGUAGCUAAUACCGCAUAACGUCGCAAGACCAAAGAGGGGGACCUUCGGGCCUCUUGCCAUCAGAUGUGCCCAGAUGGGAUUAGCUAGUAGGCGGGGUAAUGGCCCACCUAGGCGACGAUCCCUAGCUGGUCUGAGAGGAUGACCAGCCACACUGGAACUGAGACACGGUCCAGACUCUUACGGGAGGCAGCAGUGGGGAAUAUUGCACAAUGGGCGCAAGCCUGAUGCAGCCAUGCCGCGUGUGUGAAGAAGGCCUUCGGGUUGUAAAGCACUUUCAGCGGGGAGGAAGGCGGUACGGUUAAUAACCGUGCUGAUUGACGUUACCCGCAGAAGAAGCACCGGCUAACUCCGUGCCAGCAGCCGCGGUAAUACGGAGGGUGCAAGCGUUAAUCGGAAUUACUGGGCGUAAAGCGCACGCAGGCGGUCUGUCAAGUCGGAUGUGAAAUCCCCGGGCUCAACCUGGGAACUGCAUUCGAAACUGGCAGGCUGGAGUCUCGUAGAGGGAGGUAGAAUUCCAGGUGUAGCGGUGAAAUGCGUAGAGAUCUGGAGGAANACCGGUGGCGAAGGCGGCCUCCUGGA
This 587-nucleotide ribosomal RNA is filed under the name Enterobacter sp. ICB 22. RNAcentral describes it as "bacterial SSU rRNA". It matches the Rfam family "Bacterial small subunit ribosomal RNA", at positions 151 to 733 of the family's 1533-position model. The record is from RNAcentral. Lineage: Bacteria; Pseudomonadati; Pseudomonadota; Gammaproteobacteria; Enterobacterales; Enterobacteriaceae.